This is a long non-coding RNA of Sinocyclocheilus grahami, 315 nucleotides long. RefSeq lists it as uncharacterized. Lineage: Eukaryota; Metazoa; Chordata; Actinopteri; Cypriniformes; Cyprinidae. The record is from RefSeq and is a predicted model, not a curated record. The transcript has 3 exons.
UGCAGCACCUGCUGGAUGUGAGAUCACUGAAGUAUCUGAGCGGCCUGACGCUCCACGACCGCAUCACCAAAUCACUGCUGCAUCUGCACAAGAAGAAGAAGCCUCCCAGCAUCAGCGCGCAGUUCAACGUGUCUCUGAACAAGCUGAUGGAGACUCUGGGACAGUCCGAGCCGUACUUUGUCAAAUGCAUCCGCUCUAAUGCGGAAAAGCUUCCUCUGCGUUUCAGCGACGUGCUGGUGUUGAGACAGUUACGCUACAGCGGCAUGCUGGAGACGGUGCGGAUACGGCGCUCCGGAUACAGCGUCAAAUACAGCU